This 823-nucleotide long non-coding RNA is filed under the name Brassica rapa (field mustard). Its description in RNAcentral is "long non-coding RNA (BRAP_LNC000783)". The record is from RNAcentral. Lineage: Eukaryota; Viridiplantae; Streptophyta; Magnoliopsida; Brassicales; Brassicaceae.
UAGCCCAUGUCCAAAUUAAUACGGACUAAUAUGGAUAGUCCAUAUUCGUCCGGAAAAAUGUGUGUCCAAAUAGACGAGGCCCAAAUAAACCAAUGGCCCAAAUGGGCAAAACCAGAUGGACAUGGACGGCCCAAAUUUUUAAAAUGUUUAGGGUUAAUCGAUUUGGGAAAAAAAUCAGAAUUCCCUUUUCGUGAAUCACGAGAGAGAGCUCGAUCUUCUUCACUUCAUCUUAUUCACUCUCGUAACCCAAAUGUUCCAUCAAAUCUCUCUCCCGUAACUCAAACGGUCAAACCCAAACGUUCUCGUAAGCCGACUUGUUUCAGGUUUGUUACAGUCUCUCUCUCUCGAUUUAGGGAUUAGGGAUUUUGGGAUUUGGGAAUAUCUUCUUCUCUCUCGAAUAUCGAUCUAAGCCUCUAAAGUGUAAUGGGUCUUUCUAGAUUCAAUGUUUGCGAUUCUAGAUUUGAUGGGUUUGCGAGCUCUUUAAAAGUUGUAGAGUUCGACUUAGUUCGAUUAUAGACUUGUAGAGUUUGGAUUUCAUCGAUAGCUCUUAGUUUAAGACUUUAAGUAUCUUUUGUUAAAACAUGAAGUUUAAGUAAGUUCAAAAUGUUAUAUUUGACAUUUAGAAUAUGUACAUCUUUUAAAUUGAAAAUUAGAUUUUUUACAUUAAGUGGACAUCUGGAUUCCAUGGACAGUCCAACUGGACAUGGUCCUAUUUGGUUAUGGUCCUAUUUGGAAAUGGUAUUAUUUGGGCUUUGACCAAACGUGCCCAAAAAAAAAAAGUCCAUCUGGACACACCCAAAUCCGUCCGGACGACCCAUUUGAC